Molecule: unclassified non-coding RNA, 624 nt
Filed under: Trichoderma afroharzianum
Lineage: Eukaryota; Fungi; Ascomycota; Sordariomycetes; Hypocreales; Hypocreaceae
Description: sequence contains 18S rRNA gene, ITS1, 5.8S rRNA gene, ITS2, 28S rRNA gene
Rfam family: 5.8S ribosomal RNA (bases 246-399)
Source: RNAcentral
UCGUAACAAGGUCUCCGUUGGUGAACCAGCGGAGGGAUCAUUACCGAGUUUACAACUCCCAAACCCAAUGUGAACGUUACCAAACUGUUGCCUCGGCGGGAUCUCUGCCCCGGGUGCGUCGCAGCCCCGGACCAAGGCGCCCGCCGGAGGACCAACCAAAACUCUUAUUGUAUACCCCCUCGCGGGUUUUUUUUAUAAUCUGAGCCUUCUCGGCGCCUCUCGUAGGCGUUUCGAAAAUGAAUCAAAACUUUCAACAACGGAUCUCUUGGUUCUGGCAUCGAUGAAGAACGCAGCGAAAUGCGAUAAGUAAUGUGAAUUGCAGAAUUCAGUGAAUCAUCGAAUCUUUGAACGCACAUUGCGCCCGCCAGUAUUCUGGCGGGCAUGCCUGUCCGAGCGUCAUUUCAACCCUCGAACCCCUCCGGGGGGUCGGCGUUGGGGAUCGGCCCUGCCUUGGCGGUGGCCGUCUCCGAAAUACAGUGGCGGUCUCGCCGCAGCCUCUCCUGCGCAGUAGUUUGCACACUCGCAUCGGGAGCGCGGCGCGUCCACAGCCGUUAAACACCCAACUUCUGAAAUGUUGACCUCGGAUCAGGUAGGAAUACCCGCUGAACUUAAGCAUAUCAAUAA